CCCCUUCUUUCAAAUCUUUACUACUCUAUAAGAGAGCAAAGUAGGCGUCCACCUGCUUCACCGUGCCUCUGCUCCCGUGAUUCGCGUGCCCCCGCCCCAUCUCUCUCGCCGCACGCACCCGCCCCGUUUCUCUCGCCCCCGCUCUCCUCUCUCACCGCCAUCUCCGCUCUCUCCCACCCGGAUCUGCGCGCGUCCGCCUUGGACUUCCAUGGACGGCUGCCUGCGCCCACCAUCGGCUGACCAUGGAUCACGCCCCCGUCCCGGCUCUCCUCGCCGAUGGAAACUCACCCCCUCCACCACGAUGCUCACCCACGCUCUCGAUGGAAGGCGCGCCAUUCCCGUCGUGAAUCCCGCUGGCGUGAUGCCCACGCUCGUCCUCAUCUCCUUCCUAGCUCGAUUCCAGCACCCGCCAUCAUCUCCUUCCUGCCCCUGCUCGCGUACCCCAUGCCCGCCGUGUAUCCUGCCGGUGCAAUGCCCAUGCCUGCCCUUAACUCCAGAUGCCCGCCUUCCUAACUCGACGCCCCCUUCUAUCCCCUCAACGAGCUAGCAUCACACGAAUGGGUAUUCUUUCCAUUGCCGCCAUCGAGCUUCCAUAGUAGGCAGCUGACCUCCAUAGUAUGCGGUAAGCUUCCAAUCAGCGCCCUCGUCCGCCCCCAUCCAUGCCCCAUUCCAACCUUGGUGCAACCUUCCAACGACGAUGCCUACCUUCCACCCAACAUGCCCGCCAUUACUGCUCUAAAAGGAAGGACACAAGCGAUGGCGCCAACCCACCCCCAUUCCCCACGCAUCUUCCCCGUCGUGGAUCCACAUGAACAAGCUAAGUUCAAACUUGAAAAGCUAGAGGGGUGGAUGAUAAUUUGCUGAUAGCUAUUGAAACUGGUGGAUGAUAGUUCAAACCUGAAACGAGACACCAAUUUAUUCUACACUGCAAUGAAAUUUUAACAUGUGGUUACUAAAUUUUGUUGGAUUCAUUAAAUGCCUAUUUUUUUGGUUUGAGUACUUUAUAUUGUUCUCCUGAGAUGUUUUUUAGUUCAUGUCCAAGAGUGUUGAAACCGUGUUAUGCCAGAAACAAAGCAGUGUGAUUUGCUUACGGCCUCUAUGCUGAACCUAUGAGAUGAACAUGAUGUUUGUCUCUCUCA
Molecule: long non-coding RNA, 1139 nt
Organism: Zea mays
Lineage: Eukaryota; Viridiplantae; Streptophyta; Magnoliopsida; Poales; Poaceae
Exons: 2
Source: RefSeq, a predicted model, not a curated record